RNAcentral lists this ribosomal RNA (468 nucleotides) under uncultured bacterium. RNAcentral describes it as "partial 16S ribosomal RNA". It matches the Rfam family "Bacterial small subunit ribosomal RNA", at positions 28 to 506 of the family's 1533-position model. The record is from RNAcentral.
GACGAACGCUGGCGGCGUGCUUAACACAUGCAAGUCGAACGGAAAGGCCCUGCUUGCAGGGUGCUCGAGUGGCGAACGGGUGAGUAACACGUGGGUGAUCUGCCCCUUACUUUGGGAUAAGCCUGGGAAACUGGGUCUAAUACUGGAUAGGACCAUGCUGUAGGUGGUGUGGUGGAAAGAUUAGUUUCGGUAAGGGAUGAGCUCGCGGCCUAUCAGCUUGUUGGUGGGGUAAUGGCCUACCAAGGCGUCGACGGGUAGCCGGCCUGAGAGGGUGGACGGCCACAUUGGGACUGAGAUACGGCCCAGACUCCUACGGGAGGCAGCAGUGGGGAAUAUUGCACAAUGGGCGCUAGCCUGAUGCAGCGACGCCGCGUGGGGGAUGACGGCCUUCGGGUUGUAAACUCCUUUCAGCCAUGACGAAGCCCUUGUGGUGACGGUAGUGGUAGAAGAAACACCGGCGAACUACGU